Molecule: ribosomal RNA, 460 nt
Filed under: uncultured bacterium
Lineage: Bacteria
Description: partial 16S ribosomal RNA
Rfam family: Bacterial small subunit ribosomal RNA
Source: RNAcentral
CCUACGGGAGGCAGCAGUGAGGAAUAUUGGUCAAUGGCCGGAAGGCUGAACCAGCCAUGCCGCGUGAAGGUCAGUGCCCUAUGGGCGUUAAACUUCUUUUGUGCGGGAGCAAUAAUGGUCACGUGUGGCCAGACGAGAGUACCGUACGAAUAAGCAUCGGCUAACUCCGUGCCAGCAGCCGCGGUAAUACGGGGGAUGCAAGCGUUAUCCGGAUUUAUUGGGUUUAAAGGGUGCGUAGGCUGUGAGGUAAGUCAGCGGUGAAAUGCCCGCGCUCAACGGGGUGAAGUGCCAUUGAUACUGCCUGGCUGGAAUGCGGAUGCAGUGGGAGGAAUGUGUGGUGUAGCGGUGAAAUGCAUAGAUAUCACACAGAACACCGAUUGCGAAGGCAUCUCACGAAUCCGCGAUUGACGCUGAUGCACGAAAGCGUGGGUAUCAAACAGGAUUAGAUACCCUUGUAGUC